CAGUAGCCGCGGUAAUACGUAGGGUGCGAGCGUUAAUCGGAAUUACUGGGCGUAAAGCGUGCGCAGGCGGUUCGUUAAGACAGAUGUGAAAUCCCCGGGCUUAACCUGGGAACUGCAUUUGUGACUGGCGAGCUAGAGUAUGGCAGAGGGGGGUAGAAUUCCACGUGUAGCAGUGAAAUGCGUAGAGAUGUGGAGGAAUACCGAUGGCGAAGGCAGCCCCCUGGGCCAAUACUGACGCUCAUGCACGAAAGCGUGGGGAGCAAACAGGAUUAGAUACCCGAGUAGUCCCUGUCUCUUAUAC
This 301-nucleotide ribosomal RNA is filed under the name uncultured bacterium. Its description in RNAcentral is "partial 16S ribosomal RNA". It matches the Rfam family "Bacterial small subunit ribosomal RNA", at positions 509 to 807 of the family's 1533-position model. The record is from RNAcentral.